Molecule: ribosomal RNA, 469 nt
Filed under: uncultured bacterium
Lineage: Bacteria
Description: SSU rRNA
Rfam family: Bacterial small subunit ribosomal RNA
Source: RNAcentral
AGAACGAACGCUGGCGGCAUGCCUAACACAUGCAAGUCGAACGCUCCUGGGGCUUCGGUCUCAGGGGAGUGGCGCACGGGUGAGUAGCGCGUGGGAACCUGCCCUGUUGUGGGGGAUAACCGAGGGAAACUUCGGCUAAUACCGCAUAAGCCGGUUGUCUUGAAAGAGAUGGCCGGGAAAGAUUUAUCGCGACAGGAGGGGCCCGCGUCGGAUUAGCUAGUUGGUGGGUAACGGCCCACCAAGGCAGUGAUCCGUAGCUGGUCUGAGAGGAUGAUCAGCCACACUGGGACUGAGACACGGCCCAGACUCCUACGGGAGGCAGCAGUGGGGAAUAUUGGACAAUGGGCGCAAGCCUGAUCCAGCAAUGCCGCGUGAGUGAUGAAGGCCUUCGGGUUGUAAAGCUCUUUCGCCCGCGACGAUGAUGACGGUAGCGGAGAAGAAGCCCGGCUAACUUCGUGCCAGCAGCCGC